CUGCCUUGAUGAUAAUGGACUGAACCUCUGAACCUCUUGCAGUGUAAAAUCCUCAUGUGAGCUCCUUGGCGUAGCAUUAGGACGUCUCCGCUGUCUGGGUCCUUGGUGACGUGGGAUUAGCUACAGCCACACUUGGGACAGCCAUGUAAACCAUCAGCCUCAGCCAGUGCCUGACAGGCAGGAAGAAGACACACAGGUCAAUGGUGAAGGAACUGACUUCCUCAUCAGGACACACUCCAGAUUAAGGUUUUAAGGCAUUAAUCAGGCUGGACUCUGUCACUUCUGCUGACCUGGACAUAUUUUU
Molecule: long non-coding RNA, 304 nt
Organism: Mus musculus (house mouse)
Lineage: Eukaryota; Metazoa; Chordata; Mammalia; Rodentia; Muridae
Product: predicted gene, 53224
Exons: 3
Source: RefSeq, a predicted model, not a curated record